This 486-nucleotide ribosomal RNA is filed under the name uncultured bacterium. Its description in RNAcentral is "partial 16S ribosomal RNA". It matches the Rfam family "Bacterial small subunit ribosomal RNA", at positions 28 to 507 of the family's 1533-position model. The record is from RNAcentral.
GAUGAACGCUGGCGGCGUGCCUAAUACAUGCAAGUCGAACGCUGGAAAUCUAGCUUGCUAGAUUGAAGGAGUGGCGAACGGGUGAGUAAUACAUAAGCAACCUACCCACGAAGACUGGGAUAAUCUCUGGAAACGGGGACUAAUACCGGAUAGGUAAUCGGAAGGCAUCUUCUGAUUAUCAAAGGUUAAAAACACUGGUGGAUGGGCUUAUGGCGCAUUAGUUAGUUGGUGAGGUAACGGCCCACCAAGACGAUGAUGCGUAGCCGGCCUGAGAGGGUGAACGGCCACAUUGGGACUGAGACACGGCCCAGACUCCUACGGGAGGCAGCAGUAGGGAAUUUUCGGCAAUGGGGGAAACCCUGACCGAGCAACGCCGCGUGAGUGAUGACGGCCUUCGGGUUGUAAAGCUCUGUUGUAAGGGAAGAACGGUAGAUAGAGAAUAUCUAAAUGACGGUACCUUACCAGAAAGCCACGGCUAACUACGUG